Molecule: ribosomal RNA, 429 nt
Filed under: Chloroflexota bacterium
Lineage: Bacteria; Bacillati; Chloroflexota
Description: Chloroflexi bacterium partial 16S ribosomal RNA
Rfam family: Bacterial small subunit ribosomal RNA
Source: RNAcentral
UGGGGAAUAUUGCACAAUGGGCGCAAGCCUGAUGCAGCCAUGCCGCGUGUAUGAAGAAGGCCUUCGGGUUGUAAAGUACUUUCAGCGGGGAGGAAGGGAGUAAAGUUAAUACCUUUACUCAUUGACGUUACCCGCAGAAGAAGCACCGGCUAACUCCGUGCCAGCAGCCGCGGUAAUACGGAGGGUGCAAGCGUUAAUCGGAAUUACUGGGCGUAAAGCGCACGCAGGCGGUCUGUCAAGUCGGAUGUGAAAUCCCCGGGCUCAACCUGGGAACUGCAUUCGAAACUGGCAGGGUAGAGUCUUGUAGAGGGGGGUAGAAUUCCAGGUGUAGCGGUGAAAUGCGUAGAGAUCUGGAGGAAUACCGGUGGCGAAGGCGGCCCCCUGGACAAAGACUGACGCUCAGGUGCGAAAGCGUGGGGAGCAAACAGG